AUUGCACAUAUUUUGGUAAAAAGCCAAAAAGUCAUCCCAAACAUACUAGUUUUUUUUAGCUUAUAUUUUAGCCAAAUAGCCAAAAAGUUACUAAAUUAGUCAGUUCCCAAAUGAGGCCUUAGUCCGAUUACAUCACAUUUUCAUGAUUCACUCAUAUAGGCAACACUUGAAUGGUUUUUCUUGUGCAGGUAAUUAUGACCCCAAAUUUGGCCUCCAUUGUAGUAUUUGAGUUUUCCGAUCAUGAAUAAUUGUGGUAUGUCUGAGCAACUGGUAAAUGUGUCAAACUGCUUUCCGUCAAGUCUAUCGGUCCAUCAAGAUAUGGUCAGACAUGUUUCCCUUAAAAACUUCCAGCGAGCAGGAUGUCUACUCCUGAACAGUCAAGCAAUAAUGCACCUGUGGUAUAAUAAUCUACAAAUGCUCGUCAUUGUAAUUGGGAAGCUGCUAUUCUACUCCCACCCUUGAUUGCUAUCGGUUAACCAAGCCUGCAUCAAAGGCUGUAAGCUAAGAAUCACGGACACUUCUAAGAAGGUGGUGUGUCUAUGUCCAAAUGUGCCCUUUUUAAAAAUGAUUUAGACCCAAACAGUUUUCAGACACUUGGGAAACACUCAUGUCUAUUGCUUAGACUUACAUAAAACUAAUUUUUGGAAGUUUGAACAAAAAUAAAUUAGUAUACAAUGAUGAAAGAAAAAUAAUGUAGAUGUAUAGGAAUUAGUGAUAUGUUCUAUUUUUUUUAAUUAUAUUUGAAUGAUAUAUAUGAACUAUAUGUUGUGUGUCUCUCUCAUGUGUCAUGUCGUGCAGUUGUGAAAAUUGUGGUUUUGCGUGUCCAUGUCGGUGCUUCUUAAGAUGAAAGACUUAACCUUUUAGUAAAAGUAACGUGAAGCCAAGAUAGAAUUGUUGAGUAACAUUUUAUGGCAGGUUGUCUAUGCUGAAGACAUUGUGUAACAUUCUAUUUCAUUUUAUCAGGAAUGUUAUUGUGGAAAACAAGAAAAGGAGAAGUUUCUGGUGACAACAAACCUACUGUCAGAACUUUUUCCUAACAAAAUUACUAUUGACAUGCCUAAGGAUGAGACGCAUAAAGCUGUCCUGAAGCGUCAAUUUGCUAACGACUUUGAAUUCCUCAAGAGCAGAGGAAAACUUUAUGUGCCUUAGCAAUGUAAAAAACUACAAGCCAUUAUAGUUUGUAAUAUUUCGUUUUUAUGAUACUGGCUUUAUGUGUGGUUUUAAUACUGCUCAAGAAAAGCUAAAGAUACCCAUUUUAAUCCGAUGUAUGUAGAGCAGUAUGGCUUCUGGCUUGCCUCAUUUGUAUGAACCUUUAUUUAGUAAUAUAAUUUUGUUUUUUUGCUUA
Molecule: non-coding RNA, 1345 nt
Organism: Camellia sinensis
Lineage: Eukaryota; Viridiplantae; Streptophyta; Magnoliopsida; Ericales; Theaceae
Source: RefSeq, a predicted model, not a curated record